UAUACGACUGCAAGUCGAACGAUGAAGCCCUUCGGGGUGAGAUUAGUGGCGAACGGGUGAGUAACACGUGGGCAAUCUGCCCUUCACUCUGGGACAAGCCCUGGAAACGGGGUCUAAUACCGGAUAACACCGGCUUCCGCAUGGGGGCUGGUUGAAAGCUCCGGCGGUGAAGGAUGAGCCCGCGGCCUAUCAGCUUGUUGGUGGGGUAAUGGCCUACCAAGGCGACGACGGGUAGCCGGCCUGAGAGGGCGACCGGCCACACUGGGACUG
This 270-nucleotide ribosomal RNA is filed under the name uncultured bacterium. RNAcentral's name for it is "partial 16S ribosomal RNA". It matches the Rfam family "Bacterial small subunit ribosomal RNA", at positions 56 to 321 of the family's 1533-position model. The record is from RNAcentral.